UUAUGCGAUCUUUGUAUGGGGUUGUGCCUUUAUCAUAAGUAGUAUCUGUGUCAUCAAAGAUUCUAUUUCCGCAACCAAACUUGCAUCAAAUAAGAUUGUACGACUGACACUUGGAAAUUGUGUACGACUGACACUUGGAAAUUGCUCGCUCUCUGAGAAAGAACCGUUUACAUUUUAUGGAAUCAAAAGUGUUUGUGUCAUUGGUAGCAUUUGCUUGUCCUUCUCUACAGCACUGAAGAUCGCACGCUGUAAAAAGCAAACAAGCUUUCGUCUAACAGAUUCAGAAAGCAAGCGGUAUAAUGACAAUAAGGAAUGGUUUAAUCUGUAUCUGAAGCUAUUUAUUAUGUUGU
Nylanderia fulva is the source of this 350-nucleotide non-coding RNA. Lineage: Eukaryota; Metazoa; Arthropoda; Insecta; Hymenoptera; Formicidae. The record is from RefSeq and is a predicted model, not a curated record.